RNAcentral lists this ribosomal RNA (253 nucleotides) under uncultured bacterium. Its description in RNAcentral is "partial 16S ribosomal RNA". It matches the Rfam family "Bacterial small subunit ribosomal RNA", at positions 524 to 776 of the family's 1533-position model. The record is from RNAcentral.
UACAGAGGGGGCGAGCGUUGUUCGGAAUUACUGGGCGUAAAGGGCGCGUAGGCGGCCAACUAAGUCAGACGUGAAAUCCCUCGGCUCAACCGGGGAACUGCGUCUGAUACUGGAUGGCUUGAAUUCGGGAGAGGGAUGCGGAAUUCCUGGUGUAGCGGUGAAAUGCGCAGAUAUCAGGAGGAACACCAGCGGCGAAGGCGGCGCUCUGGGCCGGUACUGACGCUGAGGAGCGAAAGCGUGGGUAGCAAACAGG